GUGUAUCUGUCAUUGCAUCUUCCAUUCCUUUAUUUUUUCAACACACACAGAAGGUUCUACUUCGUUCCAUUUGACUCUUCCUCCUUCCACAUCUCUUUCUUUCUUUAUUCCAAAAAUCAAAGACACUCCAUUGAAAAUCUUCCCCCAGUGUUCAAGAUCUGUCUACUUGGAAUUACAUCUCAUUUUAUUAGUGGUUUUCUGCUUCUCUCUGUAUAAAUGCAAGGGCUGUAUUGUGGUUUCCAAUUCUUUGAUUGUCGCUGAUACUCUAGGAAUUGAUGUUCACGGGUUGCAACUCAAUCUGAAGAAAGAUUUGAACUUGUUAUUCUCCAAAAAGUAGAUGCAUGUGGUUUGCUCCAAAUUGAUUUGGGCGUGUGAAUCGAACUUCAGGACAGUAGAAAGGUGCUUAACUUGAAGGAAGUGAAUGUAAUGAGAGCCUAUGGAACUGCUAAAGACAAGUUUCAGCAUCUUUAAGAUCGUCAUCAAAUGAGGGUGAAGAAAUUUGUAAAGCGGUUCUAAUAUCUUUGACAACUUGGGAAAAAAGGCUUAUGAGUUAUGACAACAAAGCUUUAUGGAGUGGUCAAAUUUCAAAAGGCACGGUGCUUCUUUUUUCCAUAAUGUAAACAGGUUUCCUCAUUGAAAAUGAAGAAUGUACGAUUUCACAAUAUUGUAUACUUUUGUUGCUUAGUGCACAUAAAUAUUAUGAAGUAUUAAAACCUGAAACAUGGAAUUUCGGACACAC
Long non-coding RNA from Lycium barbarum (goji berry), 739 nucleotides. RefSeq lists it as uncharacterized. Lineage: Eukaryota; Viridiplantae; Streptophyta; Magnoliopsida; Solanales; Solanaceae. The record is from RefSeq and is a predicted model, not a curated record. The transcript has 4 exons.